CAAGUCGAACGGGACAUUAUUUGUAGCAAUACAGAUGAUGUUCAGUGGCGCAAGGGUGCGUAACACGUGAGCAACCUGCCUUGAAGUGGGGGAUAGCUCGCCGAAAGGCGAAUUAAUACCGCAUGUGGUAGCAAUACUAAAGCCGGGGCAACCUGGCGCUUCUUGAUGGGCUCGCGGCCUAUCAGCUAGUUGGUGAGGUAAUAGCUCACCAAGGCUAUGACGGGUAGCUGGUCUGAGAGGACGACCAGCCACACUGGAACUGAGACACGGUCCAGACACCUACGGGUGGCAGCAGUCGAGAAUUUUUCUCAAUGGGGGAAACCCUGAAGGAGCGACGCCGCGUGGAGGAUGAAGGUCUUCGGAUUGUAAACUCCUGUCAUUGGUGAACAAAGUCACAAGUUAACUGCUUUGUGAUAUGCUAGUAGCCGAAGAGGAAGGGACGGCUAACUCUGUGCCAGCAGCCGCGGUAAUACAGAGGUCCCAAGCGUUGUUCGGAUUCAUUGGGCGUAAAGGGUGCGUAGGCGGUGGGGUAAGUUGGAUGUGAAAUCUUGGGGCUUAACCUCAAAAUUGCAUUCAAUACUGCUCCGCUCGAGUUCUGUAGAGGAGAUUGGAAUUUACGGUGUAGCAGUGAAAUGCGUAGAUAUCGUAAGGAACGCCAGUGGCGAAAGCGAAUCUCUGGGCAGCAACUGACGCUGAGGCACGAAGGCCAGGGGAGCAAACGGGAUUAGAUACCCCGGUAGUCCUGGCAGUAAACGGUGCGCGUUUGGUGUGGGCAGGUUCGACCCUGUCCGCGCCGAAGCUAACGCAUUAAACGCGCCGCCUGGGAAGUACGAUCGCAAGAUUAAAAACUCAAAGAAAUUGACGGGGGCCCGCACAAGCGGUGGA
Molecule: ribosomal RNA, 885 nt
Filed under: uncultured Verrucomicrobiota bacterium
Lineage: Bacteria; Pseudomonadati; Verrucomicrobiota
Description: bacterial SSU rRNA
Rfam family: Bacterial small subunit ribosomal RNA
Source: RNAcentral